GUUCACGAGGCUGCAACGAGCCAGGCCGCUCUCCCGGAGGGGCCCCAGUCCCACCAUCUCACAGUCCAUGGCCACCACCUCACGGCUGCCAGCCAUGUUCCUUGGGAACCCUCAGAGAUGCUGGAGAAAGCGGUUUAAACCUACAUCCAGGCUGUUCUGAAACCCCCUGCAUCUCCCAAGGACGAGGACUGAUGACUAGAGGGGCCAGCAAGAUCAGGUCUCUGCUUCAGGUGGAAGAGGCAGUACUACCAAGCAUCUAGGUCCCUGCCUGGAUCCAGCUGAACUGUUUUCAAGUGUAUUGUGUGCUCUGAUGGAUGCCAGCCACUGAAGGCUCAGCACCCAGAGAGAAGCCCAGCUCCAGCCAGGGUUUCCCGGUGCUGAUGCUCUAGC
Molecule: long non-coding RNA, 390 nt
Organism: Callithrix jacchus (white-tufted-ear marmoset)
Lineage: Eukaryota; Metazoa; Chordata; Mammalia; Primates; Cebidae
Source: RefSeq, a predicted model, not a curated record